ACAAACAGACAAAGAAGAUGGUUUAAGAAGAGAACACACUGGAGGAGAGUAAGUUCAGAGUUUAUGGCAAGGUCGCCCCCUCAACUAAGGCGGAGAAAAGGUGAGGAAACCCAUCCCUGGCAUGCAGAAUGCCCGUCCCUCUAUCCAUCUCUUCCCCGUACCCCAGCCCUGUAACCUGAAGGUGCUCAUUUUACACUGUCACUUUUUGCCAAUUAAACAUCAUUUCUGGUUAUAAAUGAAGAAUUUUAAAUUGAAGAAAGGAAUUGUGGGUGUAAGUUUUAUGAAAGUCUCCAUGAUGCUGUGAGUCCCCAGUGCCUUGGCCAUUCCGGUGGGCAUACACAUGACCGUGAGACCCGGUAGGAGACCCGGUAGGAUGACGAGCACGGUAUUUGGGAAGGUGGAGUGCUAGUUAACUCUGAGGUGCUGCCGUGAAAAACCAGCAUUGUCAAUUUAAUGACAGUGGAUUAAAUGGAUUAACUUGAUUUCCCCCCUCUUUUGUUCUGUUCCUUCCUUCCCUAAUAGAAAUCUGGACCGUGGUGAGGCAGACAAUGGAGACUGGAGACAGGGGUGGGCACAGUGGGAAGGUACAUUGGGAACUCAGAGCAUCCUGGGAGGACACAGAGUCACGGGGGGUCAGAGAGGAUACACUUGAUGAUUUCACAAUGGAUUUUUACAUUUUUAAUGACAUCAUCAAGAGAUCUCAUUUUCAUCUCAUAUAAGAACAUUAUCCUUGACGUAAUAUAAACAGUGGGGUUGUUGUUGGCGAGACCUUACCACACACAGCACCAGCGGAAGAGACUGGAAGCCAUUGUUACUUAGAGGAGAUUCUAGAAAAAAAAUGCAAAAAGUGACAGAAAGGUCAGUGGUGGCCUUCUUCUAUGGAAGAAGUAGCAGGGGCGGGCAUGCAGAAACAGCACUGACUUUCAGAUUCCUAGUGAGGGGUGCGAUUGCCUCAAGGUUUGGCUGAUGUUGACUUCUGGUAAUUGAGGAGACUUGUCCAGCUGGCUAGCACAGCCAUCUGUCAUGAUCGACUUCAUCAAGGUAAUUUUUCCAAUAAGUAAAAACCACCAUGGAAUAGUGAAGGGAUGCACUGGGGCAAAAGCCCAUGUUUCUCAUGAUGUACUCAUCGUUUUGUUUCAGAGACUGCCUGCCUGCUGUUGUAUCAGCGUAUUUCAACAAAACCAAGCGUGUUUUUUAAAUAGCUUUGGAUUCUUUAAUUUUAGGAUUGUGAGAGAAAUUUUCUGUUGAAUGUGCAUUAUAAACAUUCCAUUUUCUGUUCUUGGAAGUUCAACUCUUCUUUUAUUCUGUGUAGUAAAGGAGUCAUCCUUUUUGUAGAUUUUGACACUUAAUCUAUUUCAAGACAAGUAUUAGAGAUGAGACAAGCCUACAGAAAAGUAGGAUGCUAUCUUUCCUCUGUAGCAUCCUUUAUCCUACAGCCCUACCUCUCCUCAGUUUCUCCAUGUUUCUUGCCAUCGCAUUACAUAUUUAGGGAAGGGCACGAUAAAUCUAUUAUUUCUGAGAUCCUGUUUUUCUAGAGAUUACUGAUAUUCCAAGAAGGCCCACAUUUUGAAAGUAAAGUAAGAAAUAAAUAGCAAAGUGUAAAAUUUCAGGCAAUGAGAAUCACAAUGAAGUCCUGGCGAAGUGUUUCCUUGAAUCACCUCCUGGCAUCAGGUUGGGGACGUGUGAGACCUGCUCCAAGAUCAAGAGGUGCUGAAAGAAUUGUUAGUUUGCUUUAAACCCCACCCCAUCCUCUCAUUCAUAUUUGGAAACUUUGAUGGGGUUCACAGAAUGUAUUUUUGUUUCCUUAUUUGCUAAAGAUGAAAAAUAAUUUGUCAGUACGUCUUCUAGGAGUCUAGCUAGCACUGGCUUGUUGAUGAAACAUUCCCAGCUUUGUCUAAGAAUCUGGAGCAAGGAAGAGAGAAGAUAGGUCUAGGCUGAGGGAACAGUGGCCACACGAUUCAGAAUCCCCAGAAUUAUUCAGCAGGAUUCAGGAAUUACCAACAUUGGGAACAGGUGAAACUUAGGAACUAGAAAUACCAAGAGAAGCAUCUGAAUAGCCGUGGACCCUUGGAGAGUAGUUGUGGACCCUUAGAGAAUAGUUAAGAGUAUCAUAUUAUGGAAGGAGAUACCCCCACACACACAUAUGCCAUAUUAUCAGAGGCCAAAUGAGGAUGGCAUGGAUACAUUUAUGUUUUAUAGGAGAAUGGAUGAUGGUGUAAAGAGAGGAGUCUUAAAGACCAAAAAGUUGGGAAACAAAUUGAGAUCACUGAGGUGACAAAUGAAAAACAUGAGAAGACAUGGAAAAAAACCAUCCACAGGGGAAGAAGAAUUCUGUAGACAGAUGGAGAAGACGUGGAUGGAGAGUUCCUCUGCUCUCUACCCUACCCCUAACAACACAUCCUGUCAGCUGUGAGACUGAGAGAGCCUGGCUGUGCUGUCCAGGAGCUAACAUACGUGGAGAGUAACGCUUGACCCUGGGUACCAGUGUGUCUCGUUGAAAAGAGAUGACGCUUUCAGUGUGUCUGUCUCAGGCAGUGUGUGCAGAGAGGAUGUGGGCCAGUGAGUAGUGGGAGGACACUUGCCCUGAAUUUAAGGGCUCAGAAGGGCAGAAGCCAGAGCAGGAAGGUCCUCAUGACAUAGGUCCUUGUGUCACCCUUGCUGGCACCUUUCCCUUCCUGAUCAGGAAGGCAAACUUUUGUGGACUAGGAGCCAAUAUCCCCAGCUAAGGAGAAAUAGGAAAGCAAUGAAAUCCUAAGACGACUUCUUUGGGAUGUCGACCAAGGAACAAAUUAAAAAAUUUCAAAACUAGUUGCAUCGGAAAAUAAUUUCUAAGAUAUUUGGAGGAGGGGGAAAAUGGGAAGAGGGAAGAUUUAGAGCUGCAAGCAGUUUCGUUCAAUGGCAGCACUCCUUCCUGAUAAAAUUUUGAAUGCUGAUAAGGAGAUCUGCGAGGGAGUGUUUUUGCCAGGACUGGGGACAAAGAGCCCAUUGAUAGGCUUCUCAAGUUGCUAGGCAAUGACUGAAUGACCGUGAUAAACUUCAGCUAGGCAGCACUAAAGAAAUGUUCAUGCAUUUAAUGCCCGGUGCAUUAAGCCGGGGACCUCCACGGGAAAGCAGCCUUCCCUGGGCACUUGUGAUUGCGUGGACGUAGUAAAUAAAUCAUCCAGAAUGUCAUUAUUUCCCCUCUCAAAGACAUAGUGCCAAAUCCUCAUACUCUUUGCACUAAUAUUACAAUAUCUACCAUGUUGGAAAAUAAAGAAAAUUAUUUUCAUUCAAUAUCUUUUCCCCAGACAACAACCCGUUCAAUACAUGUUAGAGUAAAACAGAUGUGUGUUAAUAAUAAUUGGGGUAAGCGAGUGGAGGAGAAGAACCGUGGUAUCUGGUCAUAAAUUCACUAGUUUCCCAGUCUCCAACAUCGUCUUCAAAGUGAUGGCACAGACAGCAUAGGGAAGUGAUUCACCAGCAUACUGCCUCUGUCCAUAAUUUGUCCUGACAGAAUGGGGAAGGAGUUGAUACUGUCUAUAGAUGUCUUCACUCCCACAGCACAACCACUAUGCUGGUGUAGAACGUGGAGACGCUUGACUGGGGUUGUCAAUCAUGCCUCGCUAUUGGGUGUUGACCAAAAGUCUCAGUAAUAGACAACAGGGAGGCUCACAUCUGUAGCUGCAAGACCAGCCUGCUAGCAACCACUGCCUGCCUUAGUACAGCUCUGGGGGAAAGCGGACGGCAGGCUGUGGGGCAGAGUGUGCAAGCUGGGGUCUUUUGAGGAACCAUUCUCACUUCAGAAAUUCUGUCCAUCAAGUGAGGGACAGACAGAAGGAUGCCUGCUCUCUACGCGUCCAGACCUAGAAGGUCCCAGAAGUGAGUCAUUGAUUGCAUUUGUGGUUAAUUGGGUACUUGGACGUUGAUUAAACCCUAUAAUGUAGUUAUUGACUUUAACUUGGAUUCUCGCUUAUAUGACUUUAGUCAUAUGACCACACCCCCCUCAAGGCCCUUGUGGUAACUAUUUAGGCAUCACUGAGGGGCUAAGGUGCCGGAAAGCUACAUUGUAACAGAUGAAACCCGAAGGUAGCUUUCAUUUGCCUCAGUGGUCGCAGUGGUGUUUAGGACAGAAAGACUGCCUAGUUCUGCUUCCUGGAGGCCAUGGAGAAGCUGAACCUUGAUAUCCACACACCCAUGGGUUCUCCUCUCAGAUCUCCCACUCCUGGCUGGGCUCAGGUGAGGGUCUCACCUCUGAUCCCAUUCUGUGUUCCUGUCUCCCUGCUCUACCAUGCUGUGUGAUGCCACUCGCUUGUCCAAGGGUAUCAAGGGCUGGUGUGACAUUAACCCCUUCCUGACAGUUUAGUAGUCACUUUCCCUGUUCUGGAACAAAGGCAUCCUUGAGUACCCUCUUUUCUUUUGCCACUACUAUGAGGCUUCUGUCAAGAAAUGGUUCCCUGGCCCCAUGAUCAAUUAUCAGGAAGAUAAGAUGUACCAGAUUCCAUUUAAACAGACUGAAGAAUGCCACUCUGGAUAACUGGGCUAACCUUUCAAAUGACAGAAAGGAUCGCCAAGUCACAUUGUGCAGGUAGUAUUCUAGACAACUGCCCCUGGAAGCCUUAUGGACUGGUGAGCGCUUCCUCCUCUCCCCCUCUUCCCUACCCUCUCCUCUCCCACUCUCCAAACUCCCAUUCAGUAGGUGUUAGAUCGCAACUGGAACCAUGCAAACGGAAAGUGUUCCCAGGUGACAGUGAUCUUGGCCAGAGCUGGGAACCAGGCCACAGACCGCACGUGUUUUCAGGCAGCCGGAAUUAAAUGGUGAUUAGCUGUAAUGCUCAGUGAGUAGGUGUUCCUGGAUGGCUGGACCCAGAGCAGAAAGGAAGAGCCUGUUUCUAGCGUUUUUUUAAGAAAAUACUUUAUAAAGCCUGUCACUGUACUACCACUCUGGAAAAGUGCAUAUCCCAGUACAUCUGUCUAUGUAAAGCUAUUUAUACCUCAUCUGGAAUUUCUCAAUCAUUUCUGAAGAGCUAGUUUCAGUUUAUAACAAUGUAGGAUGUGUUACACACACACCAGAUAUGGUAUGUGAGUGCACGUGUAUGUGUGCAGUGUGUCUACUGAUGUGUACAAAGCCCAAGACAACCUAGAUAUCCUUGAUCACAGUAACGUGUGCCCCAGAGAUCCAAAAGAAUUAAAAUGUAUAUUACAGCUACAGUGGCAUUUCAUUUGUCCCACUUCCCAGUGAGGCCUCUUUCUUUUCAAUAAAACAAUUUAUUGACUUAAAUUGUCAAUAAACUAUACAGUAAUCAUGCAUUUCCUUUCUUUGAGGAAGUGGUGCAUUAAUUUUAGAAAGAGAAGUUAGAAUAUUGAAUGCACUUUGGGUUUUGGUUAAUAUUCACAGUAUUACAUUUUCUACCUUGCUAAAACAUGAUAAUGUUUACAGACCUAUUUUUCUUUAUUUUAAAAAAUAUUUGAAAUUGCAUAUAAUUAUGUCAUUUCUCCUUCCCUUUGCUCCCUCAAAUCCCAUUCUAUAUCCACCCUUGUUUUCUCCCUUUUAGGCUCUUUUUAA
Molecule: small RNA, 5542 nt
Filed under: Rattus norvegicus (Norway rat)
Lineage: Eukaryota; Metazoa; Chordata; Mammalia; Rodentia; Muridae
Description: uncharacterized LOC103694223
Source: RNAcentral